This 508-nucleotide ribosomal RNA is filed under the name Systellaspis cristata. RNAcentral describes it as "partial large subunit ribosomal RNA". It matches the Rfam family "Archaeal large subunit ribosomal RNA", at positions 1911 to 2666 of the family's 2987-position model. The record is from RNAcentral. Lineage: Eukaryota; Metazoa; Arthropoda; Malacostraca; Decapoda; Oplophoridae.
GUCUUUAUGUAAAAAUAUAAAGUCUGGCCUGCCCACUGAAGUUUUAAAGGGCCGCGGUAAUUUGACCGUGCGAAGGUAGCAUAAUCAAUAGUCUUUUAAUUGAAGGCUGGAAUGAAUGGUCGGACAUGAAGUAUUCUGUCUUAUUUGUAAGGAUUGAAUUUAACUUUUAAGUGAAAAGGCUUAGUAGAUUUAGGGGGACGAUAAGACCCUAUAAAACUUUACAUUAAUAUAUUAGUUUUUGAAUUUUAAGUUUAAAGUGUAUUAGGUUAUAGUUAUGUUAUGUUGGGGCGACAAAGAUAUAAUAGUAACUGUUUAUUAGUUAAAAUAGAUAUAUUUAGAGAAUUUGAUCCUUUAGUGGGGUUUAUAAGAAUAAGUUACUUUAGGGAUAACAGCGUUAUUUUUUCUGAGAGUUCUUAUCGACGAAAGUAGUUGCGACCUCGAUGUUGAAUUAAAGUUUCGGCGGGGCGCAGAAGUCUCGUGAGUGGGUCUGUUCGACCUUUAAAACUUU